Molecule: ribosomal RNA, 628 nt
Filed under: Hypomyces australis
Lineage: Eukaryota; Fungi; Ascomycota; Sordariomycetes; Hypocreales; Hypocreaceae
Description: eukaryotic LSU rRNA
Rfam family: 5.8S ribosomal RNA (bases 230-383)
Source: RNAcentral
GGAAGUAAAAGUCGUAACAAGGUCUCCGUUGGUGAACCAGCGGAGGGAUCAUUACCGAGUUAUACAACUCCCAAACCCACUGUGAACCUUACCUCUACGUUGCUUCGGCGGGACCGCCCCGGGACACCUGUGCCCCGGAUCCAGGCGCCCGCCGGAGGCCCCAAAACUCUCAUGUUUACCACAGCGGAAUUUCUUCUGAGUGGCCCUUUGCGGCAAACAAAUGAAUCAAAACUUUCAACAACGGAUCUCUUGGUUCUGGCAUCGAUGAAGAACGCAGCGAAAUGCGAUAAGUAAUGUGAAUUGCAGAAUUCAGUGAAUCAUCGAAUCUUUGAACGCACAUUGCGCCCGCCAGUAUUCUGGCGGGCAUGCCUGUUCGAGCGUCAUUUCAACCCUCGAGCCCCCCCGGGGGCCCGGUGUUGGGGGACGGCCCCGCCCCUUCCAGUGGGUGGUCGGCCGCCCCCGAAAUGCAGUGGCGACCCCGCCGCAGCCUCCCCUGCGUAGUAGCUAUCAUUGAAACCUCGCACCGGAGCGCGGCGCGGCUCUGCCGUUAAACCCCAACUCUUUGAAAGGUUGACCUCGGAUCAGGUAGGAAUACCCGCUGAACUUAAGCAUAUCAAUAAGCGGAGGA